UUUUUUUUUGGCCUAAAUGACAUUUUGGAUUAUGAAAUUCUUUUUCGCAAAGAUUAUUUCCUGAAUUAAUUGUCAACUGAGUUUUGAAAGCAUGCAUCUCCAGUUAAGUGCACUCUAAAAUUCUAAAAUGGAGUGCAAGAUAUUAUUCAAUUGCAAGAUAUUAUUCAAUCAUAUCGUACUCUACUUUGCCGUUUGGUUUAGAGUUUUGAACAGUGAAAUUCAAUAAAACUCUAGUUUACUAUUUGAAGAGC
RNAcentral lists this long non-coding RNA (251 nucleotides) under Salvia miltiorrhiza (redroot sage). Its description in RNAcentral is "long non-coding RNA (SMIL_LNC008734)". Lineage: Eukaryota; Viridiplantae; Streptophyta; Magnoliopsida; Lamiales; Lamiaceae. The record is from RNAcentral.